UCGCUCGUGUCGUGAGAUGUUGGGUUAAGUCCCGCAACGAGCGCAACCCUUGCCUUUAGUUGCCAGCAGUUCGGCUGGGCACUCUAAAGGGACUGCCGGUGUUAAACCGGAGGAAGGUGGGGAUGACGUCAAGUCCUCAUGGCCUUUAUGACCAGGGCUACACACGUACUACAAUGGCCGAUACAAAGGGCAGCGACACUGCGAGGUGAAGCCAAUCCCGUAAAAUCGGUCUCAGUCCGGAUUGGAGUCUGCAACUCGACUCCAUGAAGUUGGAAUCGCUAGUAAUCGUGGAUCAGCAUGCCACGGUGAAUACGUUCCCGGGCCUU
RNAcentral lists this ribosomal RNA (326 nucleotides) under uncultured Desulfobulbus sp. RNAcentral's name for it is "bacterial SSU rRNA". It matches the Rfam family "Bacterial small subunit ribosomal RNA", at positions 1056 to 1382 of the family's 1533-position model. Lineage: Bacteria; Pseudomonadati; Thermodesulfobacteriota; Desulfobulbia; Desulfobulbales; Desulfobulbaceae. The record is from RNAcentral.